UUCGGAUACUCAUUUUGUUCUCGACUUGAUCCUGGUUCGGUUCAAUUAUUUUGGAUAUAUAAAUAUAGGAACCAUUUGGAUAUUUGAGGGUUUUGAUACAGUUUUGGUUUCGUGUAUUUUGGUUUGGUUCCAAUUUGGUACUUCGGUUCUGUUUUUUAUAUGCAUGCCUAAGGAACACCAUAAGAUUUUGAUUGAUAACCAAUCAGAGCCUAGAAGAAAAGGAAGAAUAGUGUUCGAGAAGUUUAGACUACUAGAGUUAGAGUUAGUGAGUCUUCCUCUUAGAUCUAACCAAAUUGCAGAUCUGACUAAAUUGUAUUAGAAGUAGUGCAAUGAAAGAGGUGAUUUCUCUUUUCAUCAUGCUUCUCGUACAACACAAAAAAUUUCCCAAUAUUGCAUUUUUACACCGCUUCAUAACAAUAACAAUUAUUCACAGAAAAUCAUCUUGAAUAUCAUAUGAUCAAAAUCAUGAACAAAUCAUGUGUGGUAUAUUUUCAAUAUAUAGUAUCUAUUUUUGGUUGUAGAAUUAUGUUUUUACAAAAAUUUAUACGUUUAUAUAUUAUCUUUGUAUUUUCUAAAUACAGAUAAAAACUAAAAGUUAAAAAACUAAGCAUAAAAUUGAAAAAUAUAUCUCUAAAUUGAAAAAAUAAAUUUAGAAUUGACUGGUUGUAAGUUGUACUUCUAUGCAUUUCAAUACAUGAAAUUGGUUCUUACGAAAAUCUAAUUUAAUGGUUUAAACUAAUGUUACAAAUGUGUGUGCAACUAUAAAUGUGAAUUACUUAUGUAGGGUUCAUACUGGAAAUAAAAAGCAUCCCCAUUCAUUGAAAUAAUUUUUAUCUCUUCCAAUUGUCACUUUAUUUUUUGUUAUUCUAUAAUAUAGUGUUCUUAAAAACAUCUUUUAUCUUGGAGAGCUUUAUACAACAUAUAUUUGGCACUCUAUUUCCAUUACAUAAUAUUUCAAUAUUUUAUGCAUCUAUCCUUUUCUAUCUAAUCUUAAUUUAAUUUUCUUUCUUAUUUUUAAGUUAGAAUAUGGAGGAAGCUCACUUUUUAAUUUUUUUAUAUCAACAUUCUCUAUAGGAAAUUUCUUACUAAAUGUUUUAGAUUAAUUGUUUAAAUAUGAAUUACUUACAUAGAGUUGAGAUUAGAAGGAAUCCAUUCAUUUAAAUAGUUACAACUCUUAGAAUAUUCAUUUUGUUACGUUAAAUUUUUUUAACAGUUAAGUCUUCUAAAAUUGACAUUUGUUUUGGUAUUAUCUAUCUAUUUAUAUAAAUAAAAUUGGCUUGUCUCUCUCCACAAGCUUCCACAUCAGCAAUCACAUAGGGGCAUAUGUAGACACGUGGCACUCCCAAUUCUUGAAAAAAAAAUUGUAAACGAAAGCUAAUUGGGCCAACCGAUCUUGUAAUGUUAAUUUCUUAUAUUUGGGCUUCUAUCCUCUCUUUUCUUCAGGCCCCAAGUACCAUGUGAAGGUCAACAUAGAGAGCAUCUCCGACCCUUCCUUGUGCCGAUGAAGCCACCUCCGAUGAACUUUCUGUAACGCCUUCGGUUUCCAUUUAUUUUCCCGUUUAAUCGGAUCAGUUACAUGUUUCAUUCAACUUCUCCCACUCUGUAGCAUUUAAUCAUUUUCAUACAUAAUCGAUGGGAGAUCUCUUAUAAAAUUGAACGUUACUAGCGAUGAACAGCCCCAUCUCUGUGAAAUCCAUUUCUUUGAGCUCAAGGCUGGCCGAUGCAGGCAGAGAGUUGCCACACGGAUUCUCCGGUUCCGAGGGAAGACUCUGGAACCAUUCGGGUUUUAUCGUCAUCCAUUUUUGCUUAAUUGAUCAUUAAGUUGGCUUUGGUUUAAUUGAAGAAAUGCAAUCUCAACGUUUAUGUUUUUUGGUAGCUAUACUGUGAGAAGGAAAGGCUGUCAGGUGAUCAGUUUGAACAGCUGAAGGCAUUCAUAGACAUUGGUGAUGUUUUGUGUGCUUGUGGCUCAAUGAAGAGAACCGAGAAAGGUUUUUUUUUUUUUUUUUUGCUAAAAGAACCGAGUAAGGUGAACUCAAAUUAAAUGGUUAAUCUCCUUAGAGAAGCAUUGUUUUUAGUUCUGUUUAUUAACUGUCUGUUCUCUGUUUUUUUUUUUUCAUGGGAGCUUUCUAUAUGUGUGAAUUCCAUUUCAAUUGUCACAAAUUCUCUCCUUCCACUGCCUGCCAGACAAGACACGUAUCAUGGUCUAACUGAUAUUGAUAAACGCUACCGACAAAGAUGUGUGGAUAUGAUUGCUAAUCCUGAAGUGCCUAAUGUGUCCAGCAAAAGAAAAAAAAGCUCAUGCGAUCUUCUUGAAGGAUAUGGACAAUUCUGUGAUUGAUAUGGUGAACAAUAUCCAAGUCUGAGAGUGGAGGUGGAAAACAUGGCGAUGGAGUCGUUGCAAAAAGUGCGGGAGGGAAGUAAGAAAGCAACAAUGCAGCUGGUGGACAUAGAGUACAAUACUGUUGAUUUCUUCUUGAAGCUUCUCCAGCUCUAAGAAUACCAACUUUUUUUCUUGGUUAUGGUUGGUACCUGGAGGUACCGACACCGAAGAGAUCUUCAGGUUGUGAUUUUACGAGGUAAUCUACGCUGGAAGACAUCAUACCGUAUCGAUUUUUUAAAACAUCACAAAGUCUUAUCUGCUGAUUCUAUGUUUGUGUUUGUUUUUGGCCUUCACCUUAUAUAGUUAUAUGCAUGAGCUCUUCACAUAUCGACUAUAUUUGUUUAGUUAUGUAGAUUUCUUUACUCUUUUAGUGUUAUUAAAUCCUUUGAUUAAUUAUUUAUCAAAAACCUCUUUAUUCGAACUGAAAUGAACGAAAAGGUCAUCUACUCAAUCCCUCAAGGAAGCUAUUUAUAAGACAUUUAACUUUUCUGAAUGAAACAAAAUAAAUCUAUUCACAAUAUGACCCCUACAAAAAGAAUAAAAUGUUAUGAAAGAGAAAAUAUCUAAAUGCUUUGAAACAAAAUAUUGAUCAAGUUAAAUCAAUAUUAAUUUGGUUAAUAUGUUUUUAUCGCUCCAAAUUAGUUUAGAAGCAAAUCUUUGUAAAUAUAUCCAACACACAUAUAAAUUAAUAAAUAAUAAACAUUAAAUCUGUGUAGUAAAAUGUAUAUUAGUAUAUCUUAUAAAGCUUUAAGCCUUUAAGCCUUUAUCACCACUAAAUAUUAGGAUAUCUUAUAUAUAUAUAAACUCUAAGUUAAACUAAAAAAAAAUAUGAAUGUAAAAUUAUUAAUAAAAAAUUAUAGAUAAGUAUUUUAAGAUAAUAAAUAAAUAUGAUCGUUUAAUUUUAGAAUGGUUUAGGUUAAUCUAUACCGCGUUAAGCUGAGAAAUCCUAUAGUUUAAAAAUAUUUAGCUCAAAAAUCAUAUAUUACUGUUUCGUUUAUAUAGAUUGGUUUAGGUGUGUUUUAGGGUUAAGUGGACUUUGGUCCUAAUUAAAAGAUUUUAAAAUAAAUUAAGAAUAUUAUAAGAAUUAUUUAGUAAAAUAUGUUAAUAGCUUCAGAUUAACGAUAAACGAAAAAAAACUCUAGAAAAUAAAACAUGUAGAUUAGUCAAAAACAAUGUGAUUUUUAUAUGUAGUCAAAGAAAGUUUUGAAUAAAAACAUUGUUAGAGACACUCAUAAUCACAGAUAGAAUAUAUUCAGAUAUACCAUAAUCAAGUAUAAAACUUUCACACACAAUUGAGAAAAUAUAUUAAAUUAUUAUAUGUAUAAUCUCAUGCAAAUGUAAAAGAAGAAUAUAUACUGAAAUGAAUACUGAAAAAAAAAGAGUACAAUGUUAUAAAAUAUAGUUGAUAACAAAUAAAAAUUCAGACACAUAAAAUUAUAAACAGAUGACAAAUGUUAACAAAAUAAAUAGUCUUCAGAAAUAAUUAAUUUAUAAUAUGAUCUUA
Long non-coding RNA from Brassica napus (rape), 3884 nucleotides. RefSeq lists it as uncharacterized. NCBI's taxonomy places the organism in Eukaryota, Viridiplantae, Streptophyta, Magnoliopsida, Brassicales, Brassicaceae. The transcript is spliced from 4 exons. The record is from RefSeq and is a predicted model, not a curated record.